AAGUCGUAACAAGGUUUCCGUAGGUGAACCUGCGGAAGGAUCAUUAACACUUUUAAUAUGAAGAUUAAAUACUUCAAACUAACGUGAACUUAAAACAAUCGCCCUAUAAUUAAUACUUAUAGGCAAUGAGAAUAGUAAUAAUUCAAUUUGGAUUGCAUUGUGUUGCAUUGCAUUACCAUUGCAAUUAUUACUGUUCGAUCCAUAUUUUUACACCAUUAUAAUCCACAUUGCAGUUGACUUGUAAUUCUGUAUAUAGCUGUUAUAUAUUUAUAUAAAGGCUAUAUAUAAUGUUAAUAUAAUAAACAUAAAUACAAAAACAACUCUUAACAAUGGAUAUCUUGGUUCUCGU
RNAcentral lists this unclassified non-coding RNA (349 nucleotides) under fungal sp. RNAcentral's name for it is "partial internal transcribed spacer region". The stretch from base 1 to 46 matches the Rfam family "Eukaryotic small subunit ribosomal RNA", at positions 1786 to 1831 of the family's 1831-position model. The record is from RNAcentral. Lineage: Eukaryota; Fungi.